GAUGAACGCUAGCGGCAGGCCUAACACAUGCAAGUCGAGGGAGAGGUUACCUUCGGGUAACCAAAACCGGCGCACGGGUGCGUAACGCGUAUACAAUCUGCCUUUCACAUAGGGAUAGCCCGAAGAAAUUUGGAUUAAUACCUAAUGGUAUAUAAGAGCGGCAUCGCUUUUAUAUUAAAGCUACGGUGGUGAAAGAUGAGUAUGCGUUCUAUUAGCUAGUUGGAGAGGUAACGGCUCCCCAAGGCGACGAUAGAUAGGGGUUCUGAGAGGGAUGUCCCCCACACUGGUACUGAGAUACGGACCAGACUCCUGCGGGAGGCAGCAGUGAGGAAUAUUGGACAAUGGUCGGAAGACUGAUCCAGCCAUGCCGCGUGCAGGAUGAAGGUCCUAUGGAUUGUAAACUGCUUUUGUAAGGGAAGAAUAAGGAGUACGUGUACUUUGAUGACGGUACCUGACGAAUAAGCAUCGGCUAACUCCGUG
This 480-nucleotide ribosomal RNA is filed under the name uncultured bacterium. RNAcentral's name for it is "partial 16S ribosomal RNA". It matches the Rfam family "Bacterial small subunit ribosomal RNA", at positions 28 to 507 of the family's 1533-position model. The record is from RNAcentral.